RNAcentral lists this long non-coding RNA (1006 nucleotides) under Numida meleagris (helmeted guineafowl). Its description in RNAcentral is "lncRNA (ENSNMEG00000016544.1)". The record is from RNAcentral. Lineage: Eukaryota; Metazoa; Chordata; Aves; Galliformes; Numididae.
GCAGAGCUGAGUUUCUCGAUGCCCAAAGUUCUUCCUGAGUCAGAGGUUAAUCUCCACCUGCUGGCAGCACCUGGGUCUACAUGUGCUGUCUGGGCUGUGGAUCAAACUGCCUUUUCGCUGAAGCCAGAAAAAGAACUCAGUGACUCUGUGGUGAGUGAGUCUGCUCUAACUUCUUUGCACUGACAAGAAGAGGGGUGGGAGGAAGAGAGACAGGCUGUUGCAUCUUUUCAGAGAUUGUCUCUCAAGGAACUCAAAGCACUGACUAGAAGGAUCAAGGUUUUCUUAGUGUGGCACAGCUAAGGAUUAGGAAGCAUCAGUUAAGGAGAUUGAAUGCCACUCUACACCAGUAGUAAAUCUAGACCCAGCUUUUUUUGCUCUGUCUCAUAUUCAGUUCAGCAGAUUGUGCUGGAUCUAUUGGAGAAGAGCCAGAGAAGAAUGACAUUGAGCCUGUUUUUCUGACAUACAUUCACGCAUGAUAGCCAGGAGCAAUUCAAACUGGCCUUGGAUAUACUACACAAAGCGAAUGCCAGAUAUUAUUUGUGCUGACUUUUUUCUUUUGCUUUUCUUGCUUUCCAAGAUCUAUGGGCUCUUUCCAUCUGUUUAUAACUCUGGGUAUCCUCAUCAAGUGUCUGAAGAUGAUCAUUUAUGCAGGUUCCAAAAUUCUGAUCAGCCUGAUGUGUUUACAGCAUUCAAGGAAACGGGAUUGAAAAUUAUGUCCAACACCAACAUCAGAAAACCAAGUCUCUGUCUAACUACUCAGUCAACAACUAUGAUACAGGAAAGAGGGAUGUUCACUUCCAGGCCCAUGUUGAUGUUUGCUCAGCCUCAUGAAGAAUAUAACAUCCCAGUGGAAACCAGACUGUCACCGUCACUGUUCCUAACACCAUCACAGGAUGGAAAGCUGGGAUGUUCUGCACAGGACGUAAUGGCUUUGGACUUGCUCCAGCCUCCAGUCUGCUUGUUUUCAAGCCCUUUUUUGUGGAGCUCACACUUCCAUCUUCUGUGA